UGGGGAAUAUUGGACAAUGGGCGCAAGCCUGAUCCAGCCAUGCCGCGUGAACGAUGAAGGCCUUAGGGUUGUAAAACUCUUUCGUCGGGGACGAUAAUGACGGUACCCGAAGAAGAAGCUCCGGCUAACUUCGUGCCAGCAGCCGCGGUAAUACGAAGGGAGCUAGCGUUGUUCGGAAUCACUGGGCGUAAAGCGCACGUAGGCGGAUAGUUAAGUCAGGGGUGAAAUCCUGGGGCUCAACCCCAGAACUGCCUUUGAUACUGGCUGUCUCGAGGUCGAGAGAGGUUGGUGGAAUUCCUAGUGUAGAGGUGAAAUUCGUAGAUAUUAGGAAGAACACCAGUGGCGAAGGCGGCCAACUGGCUCGAUACUGACGCUGAGGUGCGAAAGCGUGGGGAGCAAACAGGAUUAGAACCCCCGUAGUCCCUGAGCGGGCUGGCAAGGCGCAU
Molecule: ribosomal RNA, 446 nt
Filed under: uncultured bacterium
Lineage: Bacteria
Description: bacterial SSU rRNA
Rfam family: Bacterial small subunit ribosomal RNA
Source: RNAcentral